This 468-nucleotide ribosomal RNA is filed under the name uncultured bacterium. Its description in RNAcentral is "bacterial SSU rRNA". It matches the Rfam family "Bacterial small subunit ribosomal RNA", at positions 331 to 792 of the family's 1533-position model. The record is from RNAcentral.
CCAGACUCCUACGGGAGGCAGCAGUGGGGAAUCUUCCGCAAUGGGCGAAAGCCUGACGGAGCAACGCCGCGUGAUCGAAUGAAGGCCUUCGGGUUGUAAAGAUCUGUUGACAGGGACGAAUAAGCCAUGCGAAUAGUUUGGUGUAUGACGGUACCUGUUUAGAAAGCUCCGGCUAACUACGUGCCAGCAGCCGCGGUAAUACGUAGGGAGCAAGCGUUGUCCGGAAUUACUGGGCGUAAAGGGCGCGUAGGUGGGUGCUUAAGUCAGGUGUGAAAACUCUGGGCUCAACCUGGAGACUGCACUUGAAACUGGCAGUCUCGAGUUGGAGAGAAGUAUGCGGAAUGCGCGGUGUAGCGGUGAAAUGCACAGAUAUCGCGCAGAACUCCGAUUGCGAAGGCAGCAUGCCGGCUCCACACUGACGCUGAGGCACGAAAGCGUGGGUAUCGAACAGGAUUAGAUACCCCAGUA